Molecule: ribosomal RNA, 301 nt
Filed under: uncultured bacterium
Lineage: Bacteria
Description: partial 16S ribosomal RNA
Rfam family: Bacterial small subunit ribosomal RNA
Source: RNAcentral
CAGUCGCCGCGGGAACACGAAGGGUGCAAGCGUUAAUCGGAAUUACUGGGCGUAAAGCGUGCGUAGGUGGUGGUUUAAGUCCGUUGUGAAAGCCCUGGGCUCAACCUGGGAAUUGCGGUGGAUACUGGGUCACUAGAGUGUGGUAGAGGAUAGUGGAAUUUCCGGUGUAGCAGUGAAAUGCGUAGAGAUCGGAAGGAACAUCUGUGGCGAAGGCGACUAUCUGGGCCAACACUGACACUGAGGCACGAAAGCGUGGGGAGCAAACAGGAUUAGAGACCCCCGUAGUCCCUGUCUCUUAUAA